AGUUUGAAUCCGGCUCAGAUUGAACGCUGGCGGCAGGCUUAACACAUGCAAGUCGAGCGGGGGAAGGUAGCUUGCUACCGGACCUAGCGGCGGACGGGUGAGUAAUGCUUAGGAAUCUGCCUAUUAGUGGGGGACAACAUCUCGAAAGGGAUGCUAAUACCGCAUACGUCCUACGGGAGAAAGCAGGGGAUCUUCGGACCUUGCGCUAAUAGAUGAGCCUAAGUCGGAUUAGCUAGUUGGUGGGGUAAAGGCCUACCAAGGCGACGAUCUGUAGCGGGUCUGAGAGGAUGAUCCGCCACACUGGGACUGAGACACGGCCCAGACUCCUACGGGAGGCAGCAGUGGGGAAUAUUGGACAAUGGGCGCAAGCCUGAUCCAGCCAUGCCGCGUGUGUGAAGAAGGCCUUAUGGUUGUAAAGCACUUUAAGCGAGGAGGAGGCUACUUUAGAUAAUACCUAGAGAUAGUGGACGUUACUCGCAGAAUAAGCACCGGCUAACUCUGUGCCAGCAGCCGCGGUAAUACAGAGGGUGCAAGCGUUAAUCGGAUUUACUGGGCGUAAAGCGCGCGUAGGCGGCUAAUUAAGUCAAAUGUGAAAUCCCCGAGCUUAACUUGGGAAUUGCAUUCGAUACUGGUUAGCUAGAGUGUGGGAGAGGAUGGUAGAAUUCCAGGUGUAGCGGUGAAAUGCGUAGAGAUCUGGAGGAAUACCGAUGGCGAAGGCAGCCAUCUGGCCUAACACUGACGCUGAGGUGCGAAAGCAUGGGGAGCAAACAGGAUUAGAUACCCUGGUAGUCCAUGCCGUAAACGAUGUCUACUAGCCGUUGGGGCCUUUGAGGCUUUAGUGGCGCAGCUAACGCGAUUU
RNAcentral lists this ribosomal RNA (859 nucleotides) under Acinetobacter junii. RNAcentral describes it as "bacterial SSU rRNA". It matches the Rfam family "Bacterial small subunit ribosomal RNA", at positions 10 to 863 of the family's 1533-position model. Lineage: Bacteria; Pseudomonadati; Pseudomonadota; Gammaproteobacteria; Moraxellales; Moraxellaceae. The record is from RNAcentral.